This 253-nucleotide ribosomal RNA is filed under the name uncultured bacterium. Its description in RNAcentral is "partial 16S ribosomal RNA". It matches the Rfam family "Bacterial small subunit ribosomal RNA", at positions 524 to 776 of the family's 1533-position model. The record is from RNAcentral.
GACAGAGGUGGCGAGCGUUGUUCGGAAUUACUGGGCUUAAAGGGUGCGUAGGCGGUGGUUUAAGUCUGAGGUGGAAUGCUACAGCUCAACUGUAGAGCUGCCUUGGAAACUGGAUUACUUGAGUCGGUGAGGGGAAGGUGGAAUUCCAGGUGUAGCGGUGAAAUGCGUAGAUAUCUGGAGGAAGGUCUGUGGCGAAGGCGACCUUCUGGCACUUGACUGACGCUGAGGCACGAAAGCGUGGGUAGCAAACAGG